RNAcentral lists this transfer RNA (72 nucleotides) under Camelus bactrianus (Bactrian camel). It matches the Rfam family "tRNA". Rfam says of the family: Transfer RNA (tRNA) molecules are approximately 80 nucleotides in length. Their secondary structure includes four short double-helical elements and three loops (D, anti-codon, and T loops). Further hydrogen bonds mediate the characteristic L-shaped molecular structure. tRNAs have two regions of fundamental functional importance: the anti-codon, which is responsible for specific mRNA codon recognition, and the 3' end, to which the tRNAs corresponding amino acid is attached (by aminoacyl-tRNA synthetases). tRNAs cope with the degeneracy of the genetic code in two manners: having more than one tRNA (with a specific anti-codon) for a particular amino acid; and 'wobble' base-pairing, i.e. permitting non-standard base-pairing at the 3rd anti-codon position. RNAcentral also lists the same sequence under 1 other name. The record is from Rfam by way of RNAcentral. Lineage: Eukaryota; Metazoa; Chordata; Mammalia; Artiodactyla; Camelidae.
UGGGAUAUAGCUCAGUGGUAGAGUACAUGCUUAGCAUGUAUGAGGUCCUGGGUUCAAUCCCCAGUACCUCCC